CAAGAUUAAAAGGGCCCAGCUGUGUGGAGUUAUUGUUGGUGUCAGUAGGAAGUGCUGAUAGCUGUUGCAGCUGAACAAAAGCUGGAUGAGAGAGCAGAGGGGCGCUCCAGACUCACUGGCCCCAGACAAGAUUUCCCCCCACAAUCCUUGCUCUGCACUCCCAUUGUUUCAGACCACUGGCGCUCCCCAUCCCCAACAUGACCCGAGAAAUAGGACGGAGGAAGAACAGGAUGUCACUCUCCUCAGGCACAGCUCUCUCUGCAUGCUGACAUCUCAUUCUGGUGGACUCUACAGCCAGCCAGAGACAGAGGGGGACACUGAAAUAGCAACAUUCCUUUGGAAUUUGAGCAAGCUAGUGACAAUGGCAGUUUGCAGGUGUGGGGCGGUAAUCUCUUCAGAGUGGUUUAACUUGAUAAAUGAAAAUGAAUGCCGAUCUUGGGCAGCCAGUUCUCAGGGUUUGCGCUGCGCAGGUGAAUGGGGGAGUGCAAGCCCGUUGUUUGCGGUCUCCAUGGACACCGCCCGCGCGGCGCCAGGUUGACAGCCGUCAGGGACUUCAUGAAUGGGUGACGUCAUGGCACUGGCGCCUGCCAGUCUGCUUCGGCUUGUUUGGACAAUCUGGGGAAGAUUCAGUUCAGAGCAGAGCAAUGCUAUUUCAAUGCCGCACUCACAGUGGGAACACGUGAAAGAAUCUGUAAAAUGAUUCAUUGGAAGACUAAUUUAAGAGGAACUGGAGGGUUUAGGCUUAAUGUGUGAAAUAUGCUAUUUGUAAAU
Molecule: long non-coding RNA, 771 nt
Organism: Oncorhynchus tshawytscha (Chinook salmon)
Lineage: Eukaryota; Metazoa; Chordata; Actinopteri; Salmoniformes; Salmonidae
Source: Ensembl